RNAcentral lists this microRNA precursor (115 nucleotides) under Glycine max (soybean). RNAcentral's name for it is "miR4363 stem-loop (gma-MIR4363)". The record is from miRBase by way of RNAcentral. Lineage: Eukaryota; Viridiplantae; Streptophyta; Magnoliopsida; Fabales; Fabaceae.
GCCUAGGAUAGGCUCUGGUAAUCGAUUACCAUCCAGUGUAAUCGAUUACACAUGAACAGGCAGCCUGUAAUCGAUUACAACAUCCUGUAAUCGAUUACCAGAAGGCUUAUUAGGC